Molecule: ribosomal RNA, 253 nt
Filed under: uncultured bacterium
Lineage: Bacteria
Description: partial 16S ribosomal RNA
Rfam family: Bacterial small subunit ribosomal RNA
Source: RNAcentral
UACGUAGGGGGCAAGCGUUGUCCGGAUUUAUUGGGCGUAAAGAGCGUGUAGGCGGCCUGACAGGUCUGCUGUGAAAACUCGAGGCUCAACCUCGAGAUGUCGGCGGAAACCGUCUGGCUAGAGUCCGGAAGAGGAGAGUGGAAUUCCUGGUGUAGCGGUGAAAUGCGCAGAUAUCAGGAAGAACACCUAUGGCGAAGGCAGCUCUCUGGGACGGUACUGACGCUGAGACGCGAAAGCUAGGGGAGCAAACGGG